Molecule: small nucleolar RNA, 107 nt
Filed under: Olea europaea subsp. europaea
Lineage: Eukaryota; Viridiplantae; Streptophyta; Magnoliopsida; Lamiales; Oleaceae
Source: RNAcentral
UAACCAUGUUGAUGGCAUCUUCUAAGUAGAUCUUUAAAUCUCUCCUAUGCUUCAUAAAAUGGUUCGAAGUCUGCUUGUCUAAAGUGACCAAUUUCACUCCUCAAUUG